Molecule: ribosomal RNA, 844 nt
Filed under: uncultured bacterium
Lineage: Bacteria
Description: bacterial SSU rRNA
Rfam family: Bacterial small subunit ribosomal RNA
Source: RNAcentral
AGUACGGUAGGAGGGGGAUGAAUCCGCGUGUAGCAGUAAAUGCGUAGAUAUGCAGGAGGAAACCCGAUGCGAAGCAAUCCCCUGACCUGUACUGACGCUCCUUGCACGAAAGGCGUGGGGAGCAAACAGGAUAGAUACGUGGUAGUCACGCCCUAAGCGAUGUCAACUGGUUGUUGGAGGGUUUCUUCUCAGUAAAGGAAGCUAACGCGUGAAGUUGNCCCCCUGGGGAGUACGGCCGCAAGGUUGAAACUCAAAGGAAUGACGGGGACCCGCACAAGCGGUGGAUGAUGUGGUUUAAUNGAUGCAACGCGAAAAACCUUACCUACCCUUGGACAUGUCAGAGAUCCCGCAGAGAUGUGGGAGUGCUCGAAAGAGAAUCUGAACACAGGUACUGCAUGACCGUCGUCAGCUAGUGUCGUGAGAUGUUGGGUUAAGUCCGGCAACGAGCGCAACCCUUGUCAUGAGUUGGUACGAAAGGGCACUCUAAUGAGACUGCCGGUGACAAACCGGAGGAAGGUGGGGAUGACGUCAAGUCCUCAUGGCCCUUAUAGGUGGGCUACACACGUCAUACAAUGGCUGGUACAGAGGGUUGCCAACCCGCGAGGGGGAGCCAAUCCCAUAAAACCAGUCGUAGUCCGGAUCGCAGUCUGCAACUCGACCGCGUGAAGUCGGAAUCGCUAGUAAUCGCGGAUCAGAAUGUCGCGGUGAAUACGUUCCCGGGUCUUGUACACACCGCCCGUCACACCAUGGGAGCGGGUUCUGCCAGAAGUAGUUAGCCUAACCGCAAGGAGGGCGAUUACCACGGCAGGGUUCGUGACUGGGGUGAAGUCGUAACAAGGUAACC